UCUCCGUGUGUCUUCCUCACUCUCACCAAACCCUAGCCGCUGACGACACCUCCAUCUCCGUUUGAGUGUUCUCCGUCCAGUCGAAAUCUUCACCUUCGUAGCCAUCCUCUUCGUUAUGUUGAUGAAGAACUGCGCCACAAGGAAACGUCUCCUCUGCUGCACACCACUAGCGCAUUUUUACUUCAUCUGAAGCUAAACGCAUUUGCGCCACUUGUCCCUUCGCGCAAUGCACGCCUAGCUGUGUUGGUCUUCUUCAUUACCAUUUAUUCGACGGUUCUGCCAAAACUUCCAACCACCGUCAGUCGCCGGAUUUUAGUGACUUUGUGGUUGUUGGGGUUUUGUUGUAGUUUUUCUUAAUUACCCCUUUAGAUCUUUUGGAAGAGACCAAAGAGAAUAGAAGACAGAAGGGGAGAAUACAAGAGAUCACUUGAAUGUGCGUGCAACAAUUGAGAAGUAUAAUCGUGUUGAGAAUAAAAUUCCCUGAGAAGCAGAGCUCAAACGAGCGAAGAAGAAAAUCCCUUGAAGAAGAGCACCUUUGCGCCAAACGAAAAAGAAUCUGUAAUAUCGAUUUGAUGAAGAAGAUGGUUGUAAUUGGUUUGAUGAAGAAAAUGGUCGGCAAGAAGAAAAUCAUUUUAUUUGCACCGAAUGUAUGAAGGCUUUGAAGGUUUUGAGAAGGACGAAGCUUGAAGUUUCAAUCUUUUCUGCGACUGAUUGAAAACUUUGAAGAUUUAAAGGAGACGAAAGAGUUUCAGGAUUUUUUUCGAUAGAAUCUACGAAAGUGGAAGAUAGGGAAGCUAGAUUCUUUUCGGCUUUGAAGAGUUUCAAAAGAGAGUGAUGCACAAUUUCAAUGAUGUGUUAUUUAAUUACAUGGUAUUUGGAUUUUAGGUGAAUAAUUGUUUUUUGAAUUGGGUAGAGAUAUUUCAGACAUUGUUCAAUUUAUUUAUUUUUCAA
Cucumis sativus (cucumber) is the source of this 951-nucleotide long non-coding RNA. RefSeq lists it as uncharacterized. NCBI's taxonomy places the organism in Eukaryota, Viridiplantae, Streptophyta, Magnoliopsida, Cucurbitales, Cucurbitaceae. The record is from RefSeq and is a predicted model, not a curated record. The transcript has 2 exons.